UACAGAGACUGCAAGCGUUAUUCGGAUUCACUGGGCGUAAAGGGUGCGCAGGCGGCCAAGUGUGUGAGGCGUGAAGGCCCGGGGCUUAACCCCGGAAUUGCACCUCAAACUACAUGGCUAGAGCAUUGGAGAGGGUAGCGGAAUUCACGGUGUAGCAGUGAAAUGCGUAGAUAUCGUGAGGAACACCAGAGGCGAAGGCGGCUACCUGGACAAUUGCUGACGCUCAGGCACGAAAGCGUGGGGAGCAAAAGGG
RNAcentral lists this ribosomal RNA (253 nucleotides) under uncultured bacterium. RNAcentral's name for it is "partial 16S ribosomal RNA". It matches the Rfam family "Bacterial small subunit ribosomal RNA", at positions 524 to 776 of the family's 1533-position model. The record is from RNAcentral.